This is a long non-coding RNA of Lolium perenne, 957 nucleotides long. RefSeq lists it as uncharacterized. NCBI's taxonomy places the organism in Eukaryota, Viridiplantae, Streptophyta, Magnoliopsida, Poales, Poaceae. The record is from RefSeq and is a predicted model, not a curated record.
UGGGACGAAGAGAAGUACUGGACAUGAUGUUGGUCAAGAGUUGGCUCCUAUCAUUUUAGUUCCAAAUCAAACUGCCAUGAUAAUUUGUUUUGGCAAUAUAUUCUUGCCAAGAGCAAUUGUGGUGUCGCUGCCAAUAGGUGCCACAAGUAUCAGCAUUAUCUGGGAAGAGGAAGCCAUGACAAGGUGCAGCAGUUCAUGGCCAUAACCGGUGCAAGGUAUAAUUAUCUUUAAUAUUUGGACUGGGAUUCAGUGCUGACUUGUUAGUUUUGUUUAUUAUAGAUCUUUGCUUCUCUACAUUAAUUAUAGCAACUUCUUAAGUGGUGAUGCUGAUGUCGGUAGUUAGUUGGGAGUAACUAGCAAAGAAAUUUGCAAUACAAUACAGUAAUAUCAAUGUUGAACUUAUUGAAUCUAUCGUUUGGGCUCAUUAAGAAACACUAAAAUUUACCUAGCUAGCACCCUUCAUGUUGAUUUGUCGUCCGCAGCCAUCCGAUCGUAUUUGUGAGCAUCCUAGAUCAUCUAGUCACAUCAGACUGGACUAUUAUGGCGCAACCCAUCCACCUCAGCCAGACCACCCAUCAGUGGGCUGCUUCUCUGAAGAUUGACCUGAGAGUUUUCUUAUGAGCCGGGCCGAUUGCCGAUGGGUUGUUGGUCAGCCAGCAUGUUUUCCUGCCGAUCGGCCCUCUUGGAUGACUGAAUGGCGCAGGCCCAGCUUAAUUCUGUUCGCCCCCUUCUCUGCCCUUCACUGCGAAGUAACCGGGAGUAAUUAGGCGGAAGCCAGGCCGCCUUCCUUCCAUUAUUGUUGCUCGAACAUAGGCACGUUACUCUGCAUGUAGCCGCCUUAUUUGCUACUCCUCAAUAUUUUUUUUGCUAUAUUCCUCUUUAUAUGGUGUGUGCUCCAUCCCUCCCGGUUGCCCAUAUGUAAUCUCGCCUCAAUAUGUCUUCCAGUCUUAUCAAUUG